This 496-nucleotide ribosomal RNA is filed under the name uncultured bacterium. RNAcentral describes it as "partial 16S ribosomal RNA". It matches the Rfam family "Bacterial small subunit ribosomal RNA", at positions 29 to 507 of the family's 1533-position model. The record is from RNAcentral.
AUGAACGCUGGCGGCGUGCCUCAUACAUGCAAGUCGAGCGCACAGACGAGGAGCUUGCUCCUCUGACGUUAGCGGCGGACGGGUGAGUAACACGUGGAUAACCUACCUAUAAGACUGGGAUAACUUCGGGAAGCCGGAGCUAAUACCGGAUAAUAUAUUGAACCGCAUGGUUCAAUAGUGAAAGACGGUUUUGCUGUCACUUAUAGAUGGAUCCGCGCCGCAUUAGCUAGUUGGUAAGGUAACGGCUUACCAAGGCGACGAUGCGUAGCCGACCUGAGAGGGUGAUCGGCCACACUGGAACUGAGACACGGUCCAGACUCCUACGGGAGGCAGCAGUAGGGAAUCUUCCGCAAUGGGCGAAAGCCUGACGGAGCAACGCCGCGUGAGUGAUGAAGGUCUUCGGAUCGUAAAACUCUGUUAUUAGGGAAGAACAAAUGUGUAAGUAACUAUGCACGUCUUGACGGUACCUAAUCAGAAAGCCACGGCUAACUACGUG